UAGGAUUUAAGAUUUGGUUAGGGUUUGAUUUAGGAUUUGGAUUAGGGUUUGAUUAAGGUUUGAUUUAAGGUUUGAUUUAGGAUUUAGGAUUUGGAUUAGAGUUUAGGGUUGGAUUAGGGUUUGGUUUAGGGUUUGAUUUAGGGUUUGGUUUAGGGUUUAGAGUUUGGAAUAGGGUUUAAUUUAAGAUUUGUUUAGGAUUUGACUUAGGAUUUAGGAAUUUUUAGGGUUUAAGAUUUAAUUAGGUUUGGUCUAAAGUUGAGUGAAAUUUAAUAGGGUUUUAACUAGAAUUAAAUUAAGGUUGAAUUGACAUAUAUUUGAGUAAAAUUUGUGAUCAUUCUAAUAUUUCUUUAAGAAUUUUAUUGUUUGUUUGAAAUUUCUUUGAGUUGUUUUGAAUUGGAUUACGUUUGUUUAUCAUUAUUAUAGUCUAAUUAGAGCAUUGUUAGUAUUCUAUUUAGGAUUUUGUUAUCGCAAUUUCUAUUCUUCCUUCUACAGCCAAGUACUCGGAGCAUUCUCAAGCAAGAUUUCACACAUUAUGACAGCGGAAACUAAUGAG
RNAcentral lists this long non-coding RNA (553 nucleotides) under Physcomitrium patens. RNAcentral's name for it is "long non-coding RNA (PPAT_LNC004934)". Lineage: Eukaryota; Viridiplantae; Streptophyta; Bryopsida; Funariales; Funariaceae. The record is from RNAcentral.